GAUGAACGCUGGCGGCGUGCCUAAUACAUGCAAGUCGAGCGAACAGACCCGGAGCUUGCUCCUCUGACGUUAGCCGCGCACGGGUGAGUAACACGUGUAUCACCUACCUAUAAUACUGGUAUAACUUCGGGACACCGGAGCUAAUACCGUAUAAUAUAUUGAACCGCGUGGUUCAAUAGUGAAAGACGGUUUUGCUGUCACUUCUAGAUGGAUCCGCGCCGCAUGAGCUAGUUGGUAAGGUAACGGCCUACCACGGCGACGAGGCGUAGCCGACCUGAUAGAGGGAUCGCCGACAUUGGAGGUGAGACGCGGACCAGGCGCCUACGGGAGGCAGCAGUAGGGAAUCGGCGGCAAUGGGCGAAAGCCUUACGGAGCAAGGCCGCGUGAGUGAUGAAGGUCUUCGGAGCGUAAAACUCUGUUAUGAGGGAAGAACAAAUGUGUAAGGAACUAUGGACGGCUUGACGGUACCUAAUCAGAAAGCCACGGCUAACUACGUG
This 497-nucleotide ribosomal RNA is filed under the name uncultured bacterium. RNAcentral describes it as "partial 16S ribosomal RNA". It matches the Rfam family "Bacterial small subunit ribosomal RNA", at positions 28 to 507 of the family's 1533-position model. The record is from RNAcentral.